UUUCUGGCCUGAGCCGCUGUGUCCUCCACCUGAAGCCCUGACCUCUCCGUUACUGACUGGAUCCCAAUGUGCCACAGUUCACCUGCAUAAGGAGGGGGUCGAAGGCAAGAAAACUGUGAGAGGCUAAGUAAUUUGCUGAGCUCAUAUGACAUCUAAAUGGCAGAGCUCAGAAACCUCAGGGAUUAGAGUGAAGUAGGAUAGAGGAAGUUAACCUUUCCAGUGCUACCUGCGGGCUGAGAAUGACGCACACAGCUUUUUUGAUACCCGGAAGUGAGACAAACUCAUAAGAUGGGGUGCUAAAAUUUACACUGCCUACGAAAGCUGACCUGGAAUGUGAACCAGAAAUUGUCCUUAACCAAAUCACCUCACUGUCUCUCAAGGGAUGGGGUCUCACUACAUUGCCCAGGCUGGCUCUCAAAUUCCUGGCCUCAAACGAUCCUCUUGCCUUGGCCUCCCAAUAUGCUGGGAUUACAGGCAUGAGCCAACACACCCAGCUGAAAGCAAUUGCUGUGCACAUCGAGAGAAGAUCUUGCUUUGUUUUGUUUAGAACUUUUCCAGGAGUUGUUCACUGUUUUGGAAAAUCACAUUAGCAAUGUCAACAUUACUCAUGGAAUUCGAGCCUCCAGUACAAUACACCCGAUGGGCCUGCCCCAGUGGCUGCCACAUUGACUGUGAUUCUAGGUAUGGAUCCAGGCACCUGCAAUGUUAUUUCUUUUAGCACAGUUCUGCCAAGAAUUUGCAUGUUGAAAUACAUGUUGUUUUAUUGU
This 767-nucleotide long non-coding RNA is filed under the name Homo sapiens (human). Its description in RNAcentral is "HSALNT0141196". Lineage: Eukaryota; Metazoa; Chordata; Mammalia; Primates; Hominidae. The record is from RNAcentral.